GGAAUCUUGCGCAAUGGGCGAAAGCCUGACGCAGCAACGCCGCGUGGGGGAUGAAGGCCUUCGGGUUGUAAACCCCUUUCAGGAGGGAAGAAAUUGACGGUACCUCCAAAAGAAGCACCGGCCAACUACGUGCCAGCAGCCGCGGUAAUACGUAGGGUGCGAGCGUUAUCCGGAAUCAUUGGGCGUAAAGAGCUCGUAGGCGGUUCAGCAAGUCGGCUGUGAAAGUCUGAGGCUCAACCUCAGAAUUGCAGUCGAUACUGCUGUGACUCGAGUCCGGUAGAGGAGAACGGAAUUCCCGGUGUAGCGGUGAAAUGCGCAGAUAUCGGGAGGAACACCAGUGGCGAAGGCGGCCUUCUGGACGGUGACUGACGCUGAGAUGCGAAAGCGUGGGGAGCAAA
This 398-nucleotide ribosomal RNA is filed under the name uncultured bacterium. RNAcentral's name for it is "bacterial SSU rRNA". It matches the Rfam family "Bacterial small subunit ribosomal RNA", at positions 358 to 772 of the family's 1533-position model. The record is from RNAcentral.